AGCUCCAAUAGCGUAUAUUAAAGUUGUUGCAGUUAAAAAGCUCGUAGUUGGAUUUCGGGGUGGCCUGGCUGGUCCACCGCAAGGUGAGCACUGGUCAGCCGCCCUUCCUCUCGAAAGCCCCGACUGCUCUUCACUGCAGUGGUCGGGUAGUUCGGGACGUUUACUUUGAAAAAAUUAGAGUGUUCAAGGCAGGCUCUCGCCUGAAUACAUUAGCAUGGAAUAAUGGAAGAGGACCUCGGUCCUAUUUUGUUGGUUUCUAGGGCCGAAGUAAUGAUUAAGAGGGACAGUUGGGGGCAUUCGUAUUUAAUUGUCAGAGGUGAAAUUCUUGGAUUUAUGAAAGACGAACUAGUGCGAAAGCAUUUGCCAAGGAUGUUUUCAUUAAUCAAGAACGAAAGUACGC
RNAcentral lists this ribosomal RNA (400 nucleotides) under phytoplankton environmental sample. RNAcentral's name for it is "partial small subunit ribosomal RNA". It matches the Rfam family "Eukaryotic small subunit ribosomal RNA", at positions 587 to 994 of the family's 1831-position model. The record is from RNAcentral.